Caenorhabditis elegans is the source of this 64-nucleotide small nucleolar RNA. The record is from Ensembl. Lineage: Eukaryota; Metazoa; Nematoda; Chromadorea; Rhabditida; Rhabditidae.
AAUAGGUUAUCAUUCCUAUUCCCACUUCAGGGAACUUCCCAUUGGCACCAACUUGACUGAUAUU